This 468-nucleotide ribosomal RNA is filed under the name uncultured bacterium. RNAcentral's name for it is "partial 16S ribosomal RNA". It matches the Rfam family "Bacterial small subunit ribosomal RNA", at positions 28 to 507 of the family's 1533-position model. The record is from RNAcentral.
GACGAACGCUGGCGGCGUGCUUAACACAUGCAAGUCGAACGGAAAGGCCCUGCUUUUGUGGGGUGCUCGAGUGGCGAACGGGUGAGUAACACGUGAGUAACCUGCCCUUGACUUUGGGAUAACUUAAGGAAACUGGGGCUAAUACAGGAUAGGAGCUCCUGCUGCAUGGUGGGGGUUGGAAAGUUUCGGCGGUUGGGGAUGGACUCGCGGCGUAUCAGCUUGUUGGUGGGGUAGUGGCUUACCAAGGCUUUGACGGGUAGCCGGCCUGAGAGGGUGACCGGCCACAUUGGGACUGAGAUACGGCCCAGACGCCUACGGGAGGCAGCAGUGGGGAAUAUUGCACAAUGGGGGGAAGCCUGAUGCAGCAACGCCGCGUGCGGGAUGACGGCCUUCGGGUUGUAAACCGCUUUCGCCUGUGAUGAAGCGGGAGUGACGGUAAUGGGUAAAGAAGCACCGGCUAACUACGUG